AGAGUUUGAUCCUGGCUCAGAUUGAACGCUGGCGGCAGGCUUAACACAUGCAAGUCGAGCGGGGGAAAGUAGCUUGCUACUGGACCUAGCGGCGGACGGGUGAGUAAUGCUUAGGAACCUGCCUAUUAGUGGGGGACAACAUUCCGAAAGGAAUGCUAAUACCGCAUACGUCCUACGGGAGAAAGCAGGGGACCUUCGGGCCUUGCGCUAAUAGAUGAGCCUAAGUCGGAUUAGCUAGUUGGUGGGGUAAAGGCCUACCAAGGCGACGAUCUGUAGCGGGUCUGAGAGGAUGAUCCGCCACACUGGGACUGAGACACGGCCCAGACUCCUACGGGAGGCAGCAGUGGGGAAUAUUGGACAAUGGGGGGAACCCUGAUCCAGCCAUGCCGCGUGUGUGAAGAAGGCCUUAUGGUUGUAAAGCACUUUAAGCGAGGAGGAGGCUACUAGUAUUAAUACUACUGGAUAGUGGACGUUACUCGCAGAAUAAGCACCGGCUAACUCUGUGCCAGCAGCCGCGGUAAUACAGAGGGUGCGAGCGUUAAUCGGAUUUACUGGGCGUAAAGCGUGCGUAGGCGGCCAUUUAAGUCAAAUGUGAAAUCCCCGAGCUUAACUUGGGAAUUGCAUUCGAUACUGGAUGGCUAGAGUAUGGGAGAGGAUGGUAGAAUUCCAGGUGUAGCGGUGAAAUGCGUAGAGAUCUGGAGGAAUACCGAUGGCGAAGGCAGCCAUCUGGCCUAAUACUGACGCUGAGGUACGAAAGCAUAGGGAGCAAACAGGAUUAGAUACCCUGGU
RNAcentral lists this ribosomal RNA (789 nucleotides) under uncultured bacterium. Its description in RNAcentral is "bacterial SSU rRNA". It matches the Rfam family "Bacterial small subunit ribosomal RNA", at positions 8 to 791 of the family's 1533-position model. The record is from RNAcentral.